UACGGAGGAUGCGAGCGUUAUCCGGAUUUAUUGGGUUUAAAGGGUGCGUAGGCUGGUAGUUAAGUCAGUGGUGAAAUUUCCCGGCUCAACCGGGAGGCUGCCGUUGAUACUGCAGUUCUUGAGUAUAGUUGAUGUUGGCGGAAUGUGUCAUGUAGCGGUGAAAUGCGUAGAUAUUAGGAGGAACACCAGUGGCGAAGGCAACUCUCUGGCCUGUAACUGACGCUGAGGUGCGAAAGCUAGGGGAGCGAAC
RNAcentral lists this ribosomal RNA (250 nucleotides) under uncultured bacterium. RNAcentral's name for it is "partial 16S ribosomal RNA". It matches the Rfam family "Bacterial small subunit ribosomal RNA", at positions 524 to 773 of the family's 1533-position model. The record is from RNAcentral.